RNAcentral lists this long non-coding RNA (337 nucleotides) under Homo sapiens (human). RNAcentral describes it as "HSALNT0358606". The record is from RNAcentral. Lineage: Eukaryota; Metazoa; Chordata; Mammalia; Primates; Hominidae.
AUGAACUCUGAAGGAGGAAGCCACGAUGUCAGCUGUCUGUUCCCUUUGUCAUCACUGCUAGACACUAUUUGCUGAUUUAUUUGUUCAAUGCUGGUCUCCCACACUAGACCAUGAGCAGGAAGGAGAGGCAGCAUGCAACUGUGCUCGUUGUCUACACAGGGCCUAGCACUGGGCCUGGGCCAGGGCAGGCACCUGGGAGGUAAGGGACAAAGACAAGACUAGAAAUCAUCCCUCUGCCCACCUCAAGACAAAUGCAGAUCUGACUUCUUCUUCCUCUACUCUAUGUUUACUUUAUCUUAUGUAAAAUACAAGAUUUACUGAGCAGGAGCCGAAUGCA